Molecule: long non-coding RNA, 789 nt
Organism: Rattus rattus (black rat)
Lineage: Eukaryota; Metazoa; Chordata; Mammalia; Rodentia; Muridae
Exons: 5
Source: RefSeq, a predicted model, not a curated record
CGUGCAUGUGUGAGUGUGUCUUUCAUUCAUGAAUCCCGGGCUGUUGCUCCUUCUGCAGCAUGGCUUUCAGUACAGAUUACACACACUGGAAACACUAACAACUUUCCUCUUCGCUUGUGUCUUUCUGCCCCGCCCGUCCAGUGGAGUGAUCUUCAGACCGCAGCAGUGCCUUCCCUCACCCCUUACCUCCCGUGGGUGCAGCAGAUGGAAGGAGCAGGGGUGGGGAAGUACAAUGCAUAGCGACUGUCUCCCUGGAGCAGACACAGCGGCCUCUCCAUAGGACAUCCACUCCUUGUGCAGAAGACCCGGAAACAACGAGCCUCCUGGGACCGAACAACUACAAGAUUCUUGGACUUAGAACGCUCAGCUGACCAACACUGGGAGCUGGACUACAGACUCCCACAGCAGUAGAUGUUUCAUUGCUUUGAAUGGAAGAAAUCUUGCUCCAUCAACCACAGAGAGGCUGGCCCACGACAAGCAGGAGAAGUGGAUCCCACCUCUCUCCCUGUGUCCUCCCUUGAAAAGUACCAUUGCACCUGAGGAAGAAGGGAAAGAGCCUACUGAGUGCUGCGAGGGGAGCUCAGGCUGAAGUCAGGACCUGGAAGGUGCUCGUGCCAUUCAAGACUCACUGGCCAAUCAAAGCCUCCAGUCGUGCCAAUCAGAAUAGGAAGCGGGAUCUUCUGCGACCACGCGGCGGCUUCUUCCCAGUAGGUGCACGGGCUCGAAUCCUCUGUCCUGUAACUGGAUGCUGUGGGGCGCGCUCAGGCAGGCUCUGCAGUUGUGGCAUGG